UAUCUCUCUCUUGGUAGCUCUCCUCGACGAAGAAAAUCAUAUGUUGCUGCUCACUCGAAUCGAAAGGUAAAGCUAUGUUGUUUUGUUUUUAUGUUUGAAUCCUUCAAUUAUGCAUGUCUUAGAUUGUGCUCCUUCUUGUUCGGAUCACAAAUUUUCUCAAUUAAUUCUGAGUUCUUCAAUUGCAUAUGCGAGUUCCAUUGAAGAGACAAUCAUAAAUUCUCUGCAGAGACAAUCAAUAUUCUCUGCAAACUCAAGGUUUGAUUUUCCCCAGCAACAUCGAUCUUCUCGGUUCUUUAUGCAAUUUGCGUUUCUGAUAAUGAGAUGUUGAUGAAGAGCUUUCGCAAUCUUUUGAUCCUUUCCUUUACUGUUUGACUCAAUGGAUAAAUUUUCAUUCAGUGAUCAUCAUGUCUAUUAAUUCAUGUUCUUAUUGGUUUAGUAACUUCUCAUUAGGUGGCUUGGUGUCAUGAUCUAGAUUCUUGAGAAUCAAGAACGGUUUUGAUCAAUUUGAGAUGAUUUUCUCUUGCUUAGGAAGAACUGCUUUUCAAAUGAUAGAUAUUUUCAUCUCGUUUGUAUGAAGCAUAUCUCGUUUGUAGAACUCGGUUCUCUUGUAUUUGUUUAUGUCUCGUACUUUCUCAACUUAAUAUAUAUAUAAAUCAUGUGAUUCUUUUUUAUUUGUUUAUGUCUUUGUGUCUUAAGAUGGAUGGAUCAAGAGACAUGAGCAAGGUUCGCCAAACAAAAGGACUACAAUUGCAAUAAAGAUAAAACAUUUCUCUUUGAUAUGUUCAAUUGAUUAAAGUUUUAAGGAACAUUUUUUAUAUUCGUUGGUGGUUUUUGAUUAUGUUUAGAUUGAUGUUGAUUUUGAUGCUUGUCUGAAAUGAAUUGAUUUUGAUUCGGGUCUGAAAAUCGUUGGUAAGAAAUGUUUUGGUUAGUGCUAGAUUAUGGUUUUGUUAGGUAAUAAAUAGAUGUUAUGGUUAGAUAGAAAUUGAUGGUGUAGUGUGAUGAAUGUGUUAAUAUAUGUCAAAUCGGUUUGGUUGGCUGUGAUGAUUGCAUUGAUUCUUCUAUUUCAUCUAUUAAACACAUUCCUUCGUUUCUUUCUUAUCAUCUUUUAAACAUUGUGCUUCUCUUCCAUCAAUUAAACACAUUCCUUCCUUUCUUUUUUAUCAUCUUUUAGACAUUGUUCUUCUCUUUCUCUCUUCCUUGACAUAUUCGGAUAUGGCUUCUAAUCCAUAUAGGCACACGUCAAAUUUUAUUGAACUUCUUAAUAGUCAAAAAGAUAGUGUCUUUGGUUUAGUACAAGAUAUUGUUGAACUAUUUUCAUCACAAGUUCAUUUAUUUGGGAGUCAAGGUACUGAAGAUUCAAACUUUAGAGAAGACACUCCUGCAGAGCGUAGAGAAUGAAAGAAAUGGGCGCCAACAUAUGAUGUAGUGCUCAUCAGCUCGUGGUUAAACACGAGCAAAGAUCAUGCUGUAGGGAAUGAGCAAAGAUCUGGUGCUUUCUGGAAAAGAAUUGCAGCCUACUUUGCGCCAAGUCCGAAGGUUGCAGGCUGUGAACACAGAGAGCCAAAUCACUGUAAGCAAUGUUGGCGCAAGAUCAAUGACCUUAUUUGCAAGUUUUAUGGAUCGUAUGAUGCUGCAACCAAAGAGAAAAGUAGCAGUCAGAAUGAGAAUGAUGUUCUCAAACUAGCUCAUGAAAUCUUCUUCAACAUCCAUAAUAAGAAAUUCAACCUUGAACAUGCUUGGAAGGAGCUGCGCAAUGGCUAGAAAUGGUGUGGUCUUUCUUCUUCUAAAACCGAUGUAAGCUCUAAAAAAAGGAAGUGUGAGGACGGUUCACAAUCAUAAAGUUCUCACGCAAAUGAAACCAAGACUGCUGAAGCUGAUCAAGGAACCAAUCGUCCCCCUGGUGUUAAGGCAGCAAAGGGUUAUGGUAAGAAGACGAUGGUAGAGGGGAAAGCGAUGUCUGAGUUUCAGAGUAUGUGGUCCAUUGAACAGCAUGAUUCGGCUAUGAAAGAAAGGAUGACAAAGAUGGGUCUACUUGACAGUCAUUGCAAAAAAAGAACAAUUAUCUGAGUAUGAAGAAGCUCUAAAGAAGAAGCUCAUUAAUGACUUGUUGUCUAAUUAGUUUAACUAUAAGUGUAAGAAGAAAAUGGAUCAUCUGUUUAAGUUUCUUUGUUUUAGGUGUCGAGUUCGUGUUGCUUAAUAUAUGUGAUUGUUUGUUGUUUGUUGUUUGUUGUAUUUCAGCUUAGAAGUUAUUGUUUGUUGUAUUUUAAGUUUGUGUUUCUUGUUCUGGUUAUGUCAUGGAGUUAUUGUAUUUCAGAAGUUAUUGUAUUUUAACUUUGUGUUUCUUGUUCUGGUUAGAAAUUAUUUUAUUUCAGCAUAUAUUUUAAGUUUGUAUUUGUAGAUCCAAUGGUUAGCUACUCUUUACUAUAUUACUAAUUGUUUUCUUUUUCUGAUGAUAUAAAUCAAAAGCAGAACGAAUAAAGGUUCACAUUUUGUUUACUUUAUUAUAUUGCUUGAUGGAAUCUUUGUUGGUUGUGUCUUGUCUAUACAUUCAAUGUGGUUCUUCUUCUUAUUUGUUAGACUAGUUUCGCAGAAAACUGUUGAUUCUAUGUUCGAUAGUUCUUGAAUAAUAGAAAUUUUUAAAUAUUUGGUUGUGAAUGAGGGUAACUGUAAGAUUUAUUUUAACUAUUUAUUUUGGAAAUUUUCAGGUAUUGAAAGAGUGAAAGAGUGAAGCAGGUCUUGGAAUUUUAUUUUGUAUUCUUGUGGCCAGGCCAUAAAUCACGUGUGUCAUCAGUCACGUUUGUAAAGUUUGUAAACUUUAUAUUCUAUUAGUUGUAAUGUUGUAUCACAGACUAGCAAAAAAUCAGAGAACCAUGUUCCCUCAAACGUAUAUGACAAAAUAGGUGAC
This 2905-nucleotide long non-coding RNA is filed under the name Brassica rapa (field mustard). RNAcentral describes it as "long non-coding RNA (BRAP_LNC007713)". The record is from RNAcentral. Lineage: Eukaryota; Viridiplantae; Streptophyta; Magnoliopsida; Brassicales; Brassicaceae.